This 560-nucleotide ribosomal RNA is filed under the name Fusarium solani. RNAcentral describes it as "eukaryotic LSU rRNA". It matches the Rfam family "Eukaryotic large subunit ribosomal RNA", at positions 39 to 610 of the family's 3401-position model. The record is from RNAcentral. Lineage: Eukaryota; Fungi; Ascomycota; Sordariomycetes; Hypocreales; Nectriaceae.
CAUAUCAAUAAGCGGAGGAAAAGAAACCAACAGGGAUUGCCCCAGUAACGGCGAGUGAAGCGGCAACAGCUCAAAUUUGAAAUCUGGCUCUCGGGCCCGAGUUGUAAUUUGUAGAGGAUGCUUUUGGUGAGGUGCCUUCCGAGUUCCCUGGAACGGGACGCCAUAGAGGGUGAGAGCCCCGUCUGGUUGGACACCGAUCCUCUGUAAAGCUCCUUCGACGAGUCGAGUAGUUUGGGAAUGCUGCUCUAAAUGGGAGGUAUAUGUCUUCUAAAGCUAAAUACCGGCCAGAGACCGAUAGCGCACAAGUAGAGUGAUCGAAAGAUGAAAAGAACUUUGAAAAGAGAGUUAAAAAGUACGUGAAAUUGUUGAAAGGGAAGCGCUUGUGACCAGACUUGGGCUUGGUUGAUCAUCCGGGGUUCUCCCCGGUGCACUCUUCCGGCCCAGGCCAGCAUCAGUUCGCCCUGGGGGACAAAGGCUUCGGGAAUGUGGCUCUCUCCGGGGAGUGUUAUAGCCCGUUGCGUAAUACCCUGUGGCGGACUGAGGUUCGCGCAUCGCAAGGA